RNAcentral lists this ribosomal RNA (253 nucleotides) under uncultured archaeon. RNAcentral describes it as "partial 16S ribosomal RNA". It matches the Rfam family "Archaeal small subunit ribosomal RNA", at positions 474 to 726 of the family's 1478-position model. The record is from RNAcentral.
CCCCGGCGCCACAAGUGGGAACCGCUAUUAUUGGGUCUAAAGCAUCCGUAGCCGGCAAUCUAAAUGCCCUGUGAAAUAGUUAGGCUUAACCUAACUGCGUGCAGGGUAGACUGGAUUGCUUGAGACCGGGAGAGGUCAGCAGUAUUCCUUAGGGAACGGUAAAAUGUUAUAAUCUAAGGAGGACUACCAAUGGCGAAGGCAGUUGGCCAGAACGGGUCUGACGGUGAGGGAUGAAAGCUAGGGGAGCGAUCGG